GGAGCGGUAAGGUUCAGUUGGUUAGAAUACCGGCCUGUCACGCCGGGGGUCGGCGGGUUCGAGUCCCGUCCGGCUCCGCCA
This 81-nucleotide transfer RNA is filed under the name Photobacterium aquimaris. Its description in RNAcentral is "tRNA-Asp". The stretch from base 11 to 69 matches the Rfam family "tRNA", at positions 9 to 63 of the family's 71-position model. Rfam says of the family: Transfer RNA (tRNA) molecules are approximately 80 nucleotides in length. Their secondary structure includes four short double-helical elements and three loops (D, anti-codon, and T loops). Lineage: Bacteria; Pseudomonadati; Pseudomonadota; Gammaproteobacteria; Vibrionales; Vibrionaceae. The record is from RNAcentral.